RNAcentral lists this transfer RNA (88 nucleotides) under Gillisia limnaea DSM 15749. RNAcentral's name for it is "tRNA-Ser". It matches the Rfam family "tRNA". Rfam says of the family: Transfer RNA (tRNA) molecules are approximately 80 nucleotides in length. Their secondary structure includes four short double-helical elements and three loops (D, anti-codon, and T loops). Further hydrogen bonds mediate the characteristic L-shaped molecular structure. tRNAs have two regions of fundamental functional importance: the anti-codon, which is responsible for specific mRNA codon recognition, and the 3' end, to which the tRNAs corresponding amino acid is attached (by aminoacyl-tRNA synthetases). tRNAs cope with the degeneracy of the genetic code in two manners: having more than one tRNA (with a specific anti-codon) for a particular amino acid; and 'wobble' base-pairing, i.e. permitting non-standard base-pairing at the 3rd anti-codon position. Lineage: Bacteria; Pseudomonadati; Bacteroidota; Flavobacteriia; Flavobacteriales; Flavobacteriaceae. RNAcentral also lists the same sequence under 2 other names. The record is from RNAcentral.
GGAGAGUUGCCAGAGUGGUUAAUGGAGCAGUUUGCUAAACUGUCGACGAGCAAUUGUCGCAUGAGUUCGAAUCUCAUACUCUCCGCUA